UCUAGCGGAACUGCCAGCGUAAGCUGCGAGGAAGUGGGGAUGACGUCAAAUCAGCACGGCCCUUACGUCCAGGGCUACACACGUGUUACAAUGGCCAGUACAGAGGGCAGCCACCCCGCGAGGGGGCGCUAAUACCUAAAAGCUGGUCCCAGUUCGGAUCGGAGUCUGCAACCCGACUCCGUGAAGCUGGAUUCGCUAGUAAUCGCGCAUCAGCCACGGCGCGGUGAAUACGUUCCCGGGCCUU
Molecule: ribosomal RNA, 244 nt
Filed under: uncultured Rikenellaceae bacterium
Lineage: Bacteria; Pseudomonadati; Bacteroidota; Bacteroidia; Bacteroidales; Rikenellaceae
Description: partial 16S ribosomal RNA
Rfam family: Bacterial small subunit ribosomal RNA
Source: RNAcentral